GUGGGUAGCGGUGAAAUUCCAAUCGAGCCCGGAGAUAGCUGGUUCUCCCCGAAAUAGCUUUAGGGCUAGCCUCAAGGUGAGAGAUACGGAGGUAGAGCACUGAAUGUCCUAGGGGGUAUUGCACCUACCGAAGACUAUCAAACUCCGAAUGCCGUCAUCUUAUACUUGGGAGUCAGACUGUGGGUGAUAAGAUUCAUAGUCGAAAGGGCAACAGCCCAGAUCGUCAGCUAAGGUCCCUAAAUGUAAGUUAAGUGGUAAAGGAUGUGGGAUUGCACAGACAACCAGGAUGUUGGCUUAGAAGCAGCCACUCAUUCAAAGAGUGCGUAAUAGCUCACUGGUCGAGUGAUCCUGCGCCGAAGAUUUCCGGGGCUAAAACUUACUACCGAAGCUACGGCAUCAGUAAUGAUGGGUAGGGGAGCUUCCCAUACGGGUUGAAGCAUGACCGUAAGGACAUGUGGACAGUAGGGGAGUGAGAAUGUUGGCAUGAGUAGCGAGAUGUGGGUGAGAAUCCCACAGGCCGUAAACCCAAGGUUUCCAGGGGAAGGUUCGUCCGCCCUGGG
This 560-nucleotide ribosomal RNA is filed under the name Clostridioides difficile. Its description in RNAcentral is "bacterial LSU rRNA". It matches the Rfam family "Bacterial large subunit ribosomal RNA", at positions 811 to 1379 of the family's 2925-position model. Lineage: Bacteria; Bacillati; Bacillota; Clostridia; Peptostreptococcales; Peptostreptococcaceae. The record is from RNAcentral.